GAUGAACGCUGGCGGCGUGCCUAAUACAUGCAAGUCGAGCGAACGGACGAGAAGCUUGCUUCUCUGAUGUUAGCGGCGGACGGGUGAGUAACACGUGGAUAACCUACCUAUAAGACUGGGAUAACUUCGGGAAACCGGAGCUAAUACCGGAUAAUAUUUUGAACCGCAUGGUUCAAAAGUGAAAGACGGUCUUGCCGUCACUUAUAGAUGGUUCCGCGCUGCAUUAGCUAGUUGGUAAGGUAACGGCUUACCAAGGCAACGAUGCAUAGCCGACCUGAGAGGGUGAUCGGCAACACUGGAAGUGAGACACGAUCCAGACACCGAGGGGAGGCAGCAGUAGGGAAUCGUCCGCAAAGGGCGAAAGCCUGACGGAGCAACGCCGGGUGAGUGAUGAAGGUCUGCGGAUCGUAAAACGCUGUUAUGAGGGAAGAACAUAUGUGUAAGUAACUGUGCACGUCUGGACGGUACCUAAUAAGAAAGCCACGGCUAACUACGG
This 496-nucleotide ribosomal RNA is filed under the name uncultured bacterium. RNAcentral's name for it is "partial 16S ribosomal RNA". It matches the Rfam family "Bacterial small subunit ribosomal RNA", at positions 28 to 506 of the family's 1533-position model. The record is from RNAcentral.